This 253-nucleotide ribosomal RNA is filed under the name uncultured bacterium. RNAcentral describes it as "partial 16S ribosomal RNA". It matches the Rfam family "Bacterial small subunit ribosomal RNA", at positions 524 to 776 of the family's 1533-position model. The record is from RNAcentral.
UACGUAAGUGGCAAGCGUUGUCCGGAUUUACUGGGCGUAAAGAGCGCGCAGGCGGUCGGAUAAGUCGAAUGUGAAAGCCCCCGGCUCAACUGGGGAGGGUCAUUCGAUACUGUUCGACUCGAAGGCAGGAGAGGGAAGUGGAAUUCCCGGUGUAGUGGUGAAAUGCGUAGAUAUCGGGAGGAACACCAGUGGCGAAGGCGACUUCCUGGCCUGUUCUUGACGCUGAGGCGCGAAAGCUAGGGGAGCAAACGGG